ACUGUAAUGCCAGCGUGGACGGUUCCAACUCCGUGAAAAGGCAGAGGACAGG
Molecule: non-coding RNA, 52 nt
Submitted as: unclassified sequences
Source: Rfam